AUUGAACGCUGGCGGAAUGCUUUACACAUGCAAGUCGAACGGCAGCACGGGGCAACCUGGUGGCGAGUGGCGAACGGGUGAGUAAUACAUCGGAACGUGCCCAAUCGUGGGGGAUAACGUAGCGAAAGUUACGCUAAUACCGCAUACGAUCUACGGAUGAAAGCGGGGGAUCGCAAGACCUCGCGCGAGUGGAGCGGCCGAUGUCAGAUUAGGUAGUUGGUGGGGUAAAGGCUCACCAAGCCAACGAUCUGUAGCUGGUCUGAGAGGACGACCAGCCACACUGGAACUGAGACACGGUCCAGACUCCUACGGGAGGCAGCAGUGGGGAAUUUUGGACAAUGGGCGCAAGCCUGAUCCAGCCAUUCCGCGUGCAGGAUGAAGGCCUUCGGGUUGUAAACUAGCUUUGUACGGUAACGAAACGGACCGAGGCUCUAAUACAGUUUGUCGUAAUAGACGGUACCGUAACGAAUAAGACACCGGCUAACUACGUGCCAGCAGCCGCGGUAAAACG
RNAcentral lists this ribosomal RNA (511 nucleotides) under uncultured bacterium. RNAcentral describes it as "bacterial SSU rRNA". It matches the Rfam family "Bacterial small subunit ribosomal RNA", at positions 30 to 527 of the family's 1533-position model. The record is from RNAcentral.